RNAcentral lists this long non-coding RNA (888 nucleotides) under Ananas comosus (pineapple). RNAcentral's name for it is "long non-coding RNA (ACOM_LNC038608)". Lineage: Eukaryota; Viridiplantae; Streptophyta; Magnoliopsida; Poales; Bromeliaceae. The record is from RNAcentral.
UUAACGAUUUAAAAUUUAAAAUGUAAAUAUAAAUUUAAUUUAGAAUUAGAUGUGACAUUUUGAAUUAAAAAUAAAUUAAAAUUUUGAUACUUUUAGAUUAAAAUAUAUAUCCAAUCUUCUAAAUCUCGUCAUACUUACCUAUCAUCUCUUUAUCAGAUAUCGAGCAUAUUUUGAUAUUUAACCUCCCAAUCUUCUUAUUCUUAUCCCAAUUUUAUAUAUACUUAUUAUUUUUCACACAUAAUACCCUCCACCUAUGCAUUUGUCACUACAUAGGUGGCGUCGACACAUCGUUGUUGUCACCUUCACCGGCACAUCUUUAUCCUCUUUCUCACCGGCACAACUUCGUUGUCACCUUUGCUAGCAUGACGUCGUCGUCUUCACACUGCAUGUAUAUCGACGGAAGUACACGAAUUAUGUCAGCGUUGUUUAUGGUCUACUGACAUGUCAUCGGUGGUCGAGAUACAUGCAUAUGCAAGUCAUUGGUGGUCAACAAUGUAUGCGUUGAUAAUUCAUAUACACAUCAAUCUAAAUACUCUUCAUCCUCAUAUAUCUAUUGCUAAUAUAUUUUUUUUAAAAAAAAAUUUUCUUUCUUUUCUAUUACUAAUAUAUAUUUUUUUAAUAAUUUAAUUUUUAGUUAGAUUUAUUAUUUUUAAAUUAAAGAUCUCAAAGUCUCAUCCCAAUUGUUUUUCUUUUAUUAUCUUUAAUUUCUUCCUAAACAAGUUUAAUAAUUAAAUUCAAAUUAUAUUUCAUUUUCUUUAGUUAACAUAUUUUAAUAAUAUAAUUUUUCUUUACAUAUAAUAUACUAACACUUUAUAUCAAAUUUUAAUACAUAAAUGCUAUAUUAAUUUUCUAUCAUCUGCACAUACCCAAUUUAUAUAAAAGUAUACC